AGUGAACGCUGGCGGUAGGCCUAACACAUGCAAGUCGAACGGCAGCACAGUAAGAGCUUGCUCUUACGGGUGGCGAGUGGCGGACGGGUGAGGAAUACAUCGGAAUCUACUUUUUCGUGGGGGAUAACGUAGGGAACUUACGCUAAUACCGCAUACGACCUACGGGUGAAAGCAGGGGAUCUUCGGACCUUGCGCGAUUGAAUGAGCCGAUGUCGGAUUAGCUAGUUGGCGGGGUAAAGGCCCACCAAGGCGACGAUCCGUAGCUGGUCUGAGAGGAUGAUCAGCCACACUGGAACUGAGACACGGUCCAGACUCCUACGGGAGGCAGCAGUGGGGAAUAUUGGACAAUGGGCGCAAGCCUGAUCCAGCCAUACCGCGUGGGUGAAGAAGGCCUUCGGGUUGUAAAGCCCUUUUGUUGGGAAAGAAAAGCAGCAGGCUAAUACCCCGCUGUUCUGACGGUACCCAAAGAAUAAGCACCGGCUAACUUCGUG
This 491-nucleotide ribosomal RNA is filed under the name uncultured bacterium. Its description in RNAcentral is "partial 16S ribosomal RNA". It matches the Rfam family "Bacterial small subunit ribosomal RNA", at positions 29 to 507 of the family's 1533-position model. The record is from RNAcentral.